This 76-nucleotide transfer RNA is filed under the name Trueperaceae bacterium. Its description in RNAcentral is "tRNA-Ile". It matches the Rfam family "tRNA". Rfam says of the family: Transfer RNA (tRNA) molecules are approximately 80 nucleotides in length. RNAcentral also lists the same sequence under 1 other name. Lineage: Bacteria; Thermotogati; Deinococcota; Deinococci; Trueperales; Trueperaceae. The record is from RNAcentral.
GGGCCCUUAGCUCAGCGGUGAGAGCAGGCGACUCAUAAUCGCUUGGUCGCUGGUUCGAAUCCAGCAGGGCCCACCA